GCGCCCGUAGUUCAAUGGAUAGAGCGUCAGAUUCCGGUUCUGAAUGUUGGGGGUUCGAGUCCCUUCGGGCGUACCA
This 76-nucleotide transfer RNA is filed under the name Flavonifractor plautii. Its description in RNAcentral is "tRNA-Arg". It matches the Rfam family "tRNA". From Rfam's summary of the family: Transfer RNA (tRNA) molecules are approximately 80 nucleotides in length. Lineage: Bacteria; Bacillati; Bacillota; Clostridia; Eubacteriales; Oscillospiraceae. RNAcentral also lists the same sequence under 11 other names. The record is from RNAcentral.